Molecule: ribosomal RNA, 495 nt
Filed under: uncultured bacterium
Lineage: Bacteria
Description: bacterial SSU rRNA
Rfam family: Bacterial small subunit ribosomal RNA
Source: RNAcentral
AAAGGAAUUGACGGGGACCCGCACAAGCAGUGGAGCAUGUGGUUUAAUUCGAUGCAACGCGAAGAACCUUACCCAGGCUUGACAUGCACUGGACGUAUCUAGAAAUAGAUAUUCCCUUCGGGGCCGGUGCACAGGUGCUGCAUGGCUGUCGUCAGCUCGUGCCGUGAGGUGUUUGGUUAAGUCCAGCAACGAGCGCAACCCUUAUCAUUAGUUGCCAGCACGUAAUGGUGGGAACUCUAAUGAGACUGCCCGGGUUAACCGGGAGGAAGGUGAGGAUGACGUCAAGUCCGCAUGGCCCUUAUGUCUGGGGCUACACACGUGCUACAAUGGGCGAAACAAUAGGAAGCGAAACCGUGAGGUGAAGCAAAUCCAGCAAAUUCGCCCCCAGUUCAGAUUGAAGUCUGCAACUCGACUUCAUGAAGCCGGAAUUGCUAGUAAUGGCGUGUCAGCAACAACGCCGUGAAUACGUUCCCGGGUCUUGUACACACCGCCCGU